Molecule: ribosomal RNA, 415 nt
Filed under: uncultured prokaryote
Description: bacterial SSU rRNA
Rfam family: Bacterial small subunit ribosomal RNA
Source: RNAcentral
GUGUCAGCCGCCGCGGUAAUACGUAGGUGGCAAGCGUUGUCCGGAUUUAUUGGGCGUAAAGGGCGUGUAGGCGGUUCAUUAAGUUCGGGGUGAAAUCUCCCGGCUCAACUGGGAGGAGCCCCCGGAUACUGAUGGACUAGAGGGGGGCAGAGGAAGGUGGAAUUCCCGAAGUAGCGGUGAAAUGCGUAGAUAUCGGGAGGAACACCGGUGGCGAAGGCGGCCUUCUGGGCCUACCCUGACGCUGAGGCGCGAAAGCGUGGGGAGCAAACCGGAUUAGAUACCCGGGUAGUCCACGCCCUAAACGUUGGACACUAGGUGUGGGGGGUAUCGACCCCCUCCGUGCCGCAGCUAACGCUUUAAGUAUCCCGCCUGGGGAGUACGGUCGCAAGGCUGAAACUUAAAUGAAUUGACGGGG